Molecule: unclassified non-coding RNA, 167 nt
Filed under: uncultured fungus
Lineage: Eukaryota; Fungi
Description: sequence contains ITS1
Source: RNAcentral
AAGAGAUCUUCUGCCCUUCUAGGGUAGACCUUCCAACCCUUUGUAUAUUCAUACCUCUGUUGCUUUGGCAGGCCCGUCUUUGACCGCCGGUGGUAUACACUGGCCAGUGUCUGCCAGAGAAUUCAACUCUGAAAUGCAUGUUGUCUGAGCAUUUAUAAUAACAUUUA